Molecule: ribosomal RNA, 252 nt
Filed under: uncultured bacterium
Lineage: Bacteria
Description: partial 16S ribosomal RNA
Rfam family: Bacterial small subunit ribosomal RNA
Source: RNAcentral
UACGGGGGGGGCAAGCGUUGUUCGGAAUUACUGGGCGUAAAGGGUUUGUAGGUGGCCGGCUAAGUCAGACGUGAAAUCCCUCAGCUUAACUGGGGAACUGCGUCUGGGACUGGUCGGCUUGAGGGCCGGAGAGGAACGCGGAAUUCCAGGUGUAGCGGUGAAAUGCGUAGAUAUCUGGAGGAACACCGGUGGCGAAGGCGGCGUUCUGGACGGCAUUGACGCUGAGGAGCGAAAGCCAGGGGAGCAAACGGG